Gasterosteus aculeatus (three-spined stickleback) is the source of this 83-nucleotide non-coding RNA. NCBI's taxonomy places the organism in Eukaryota, Metazoa, Chordata, Actinopteri, Perciformes, Gasterosteidae. The record is from Rfam.
GUCAGGAUGGCCGAGUGGUCUAAGGCGCUGCGUUAAGGUCGCAGUCUCCCCUUGAGGCGUGGGUUCAAAUCCCACUUCUGACA